Molecule: long non-coding RNA, 3487 nt
Filed under: Solanum tuberosum (potato)
Lineage: Eukaryota; Viridiplantae; Streptophyta; Magnoliopsida; Solanales; Solanaceae
Description: long non-coding RNA (STUB_LNC004537)
Source: RNAcentral
CCCAAAUUCAAACAUCUAUAUUAAGUCAACUAUUAUGAAUCCAAACUAGAAAUAUCUAAAUCACACAAGUAAGUACAACAUGUAGAGAAAACACGUAAACAAAUAAUGCAAAAUGUAAGUAGCUAUAUGUGACUCCAAUAUAGGACCACUUGUUUUGCUUGCAAUUUCAAAUAGUCAAAGAUGUAGUGAAGAUUCCAUGUGCUCUUUUGUUAUCACUUCCGUUUCUAUUUGGAAGUAAUAUAAAAGACAAGAGCAGUAGAUGAGUGACAAUGAAGAGAAAGAUGUCAUCUUCGGGUAUAGCGAUGAUGAGGUUGAGUCUCAAAACGAGACUCUUUGUGCUCCAUUGCCAUGAAAAAAAAACAAAGAAACAAAAUAAAGGGAAUUAGAAGAAGAACAGAUUUAGCAAGUAAAAAUAUAAGAAGGACAAAAAAAUAAAUUCCUUAGCAUCACAUAUUAGAGAUGUAACUAGCUGCAAAGAGAAAACAUACGUGAAAACUUGAUACAAUUAACAAAUCAAAACUUGGAGAGGGCUAAAGGAAUCACUGUACAACUUAUUCUUUAGGAAUUUAAUCUAAAAUUAACUCAUAGUCUCUAAAGUAUUGUUUAAAGGUAUAUGCCAUGAUUUUUGUUUAGACAAAUGAUAUAUUUAUAUGGUACAGAUGAUGAACUUUCCAUAUAGAACAAACAUGUAUUUGGAAAGGUUAAACACAUUAUAUUUUUUAUCUUAGAUGUAAAUAUAAUAUGUAGAUUAACAGAAGGAAUUCUUGAGACAUAGCUGAAUAUUCACCCUUAAAAAAAAGGUUUCUGACGAUUUAAUUAGUUACGGGAUUUAAAAGAUGAACAACAUAUAAUGCAAAACAGUGAUUGAAACAAUGCUUAAUACGUCAAAAGUUUAAAGUUUAAUCGCAGAAAGUACUCGGUCUAUGUAUGAUUUUCGCUUAAAUCUAUUUGGACAGAAUGCAUAAUUUUACCAAAUGAAACAGAUUUUAAGAACAUUGUAUCAAAUAGUUUAAACAAACAAAUAAGAUACCAAUCCUAAAUCCCAUAUACAAGCAGACCUUAACAUUUGCUCCUAUAUACAAAGUUGAACACAUGAUUAUUGUCUUAAUGACGAACACUAAUAACGGCUUAAAGAAAAAGUGUUGUUCAUCUUGUAUUCCUAAGAUACUUAGAANNNNNNNNNNNNNNNNNNNNNNNNNNNNNNNNNNNNNNNNNNNNNNNNNNNNNNNNNNNNNNNNNNNNNNNNNNNNNNNNNNNNNNNNNNNNNNNNNNNNUUUUUUUUUUUUUUUUUUUCCGUCUUCAAACAGAAUUAAACAUAUUCUUUAUCAGGAAUGUUUUUAUUUUCAAUAGCCUUCCAACUAUAACAUUUUGACAUACUAUUUUAUCAAAUAAAAAUAUGCAUCUCUCAUUUUGCAAACUAAAGAAUUUUAAAGGCAACACUAUUUGCUAAGCAAAAUUCAUUCCACAACAAAUGGUUUGCAAAUCUUUUUUUUCAAAGAUACACAUGAUAAAAAAAAAUUCAAAAUUGUUAACUCUUAGAAACUAUUUUCCUUCUUAGAUAAAUAAUAAGAAGGUUACAUGGUGUAAUCUUUAUUCGGAAUAGCACCAAUUUUUUUCUGUACACUCUCACUUCGACCUUGCUAAACAAAGCACCAAAUUCUAGAGAAGUAAUGCAUUAAUCUUCUACUUCCAUGAUCUGUUUCUCUCAAUCAGUAGAAUACAAGAAAUACCAACAGUAUAAUAAUUUCCUUAAGAUUGUUGUUCAUCUUGUAUUCCUAAGAUACUUAGAACAAAACUUUGAAGAACUUGGUAAGAAACAACAGAGUUUAAAGAGUAUUUUCAAAACUAGGAAAUCAAAACUGGUAGAGAAAAUCAAAUCAGAAACAAAUUAGAAACAAUAUAAAAAUAUUUUUCUCAAAGAAAGAAAAUUAAGCCCACUGAAUGCACAGUGUCCCUUUAAGGGAAUUAUUCCCCUAAAGUACCCGAGGUUAAUGGAAUAUAUUUUCUUUUAAAAUGAGAGGAAAUCCCUCAAUUUAUAGAAAGCAGAGGGUAGUGUGAAAAGGUUCUUAUUGUGCCUUACCGGAAAGGUCACAAACCUUUGAAAAGUAACAAUCUUUCGGAAAGGUCACCACCUUUCAUAAAAGUCACAACUUUUCAUAAAAGUAGCAACUUUUGAUAAAAGUCACAACUUUUCAUAAAAGUAGCAACUUUUGAUAAAAGUCACAACUUUUCAUAAAAGUAGCAACUUUUGAUAAAAGUCACAACUUUUCAUAAAAGUAGCAACUUUUGAUAAAAGUCACAACUUUUCAUAAAAGUAGCAACUUUUGAUAAAAGUCACAACUUUUCAUAAAAGUAGCAACUUUUGAUAAAAGUCACAACUUUUCAUAAAAGUAGCAACUUUUGAUAAAAGUCACAACUUUUCAUAAAAGUAGCAACUUUUGAUAAAAGUCACAACUUUUCAUAAAAGUAGCAACUUUUGAUAAAAGUCACAACUUUUCAUAAAAGUCGCAACUUUUGAUAAAAGUCACAACUUUUCAUAAAAGUCGCAACUUUUGAUAAAAGUCACAACUUUUCAUAAAAGUCGCAACUUUUGAUAAAAGUCACAACUUUUCAUAAAAGUCGCAACUUUUGAUAAAAGUCACAACUUUUCAUAAAAGUCGCAACUUUUGAUAAAAGUCACAACUUUUCAUAAAAGUCGCAACUUUUGAUAAAAGUCACAACUUUUCAUAAAAGUCGCAACUUUUGAUAAAAGUCACAACUUUUCAUAAAAGUCGCAACUUUUGAUAAAAGUCACAACUUUUCAUAAAAGUCGCAACUUUUGAUAAAAGUCACAACUUUUCAUAAAAGUCGCAACUUUUGAUAAAAGUCACAACUUUUCAUAAAAGUCGCAACUUUUGAUAAAAGUCACAACUUUUCAUAAAAGUCGCAACUUUUGAUAAAAGUCACAACUUUUCAUAAAAGUCGCAACUUUUGAUAAAAGUCACAACUUUUCAUAAAAGUCGCAACUUUUGAUAAAAGUCACAACUUUUCAUAAAAGUCGCAACUUUUGAUAAAAGUCACAACUCUUCAUAAUAGUCGCAACUUUUCAUCAAAGUCACAACUCUUCAUAAAAGUCGCAACUCUUCAUUUUCCAUUCACACCUUUUAAAACCCAACAAAAAGUUAAAAGAUUCACUAACCACGACAAAUAAUACAAAACUAACAUAUGAUCAAAGAUGAGCUAAUCAUUCAACUCCAUAACCAAAGAAAGGAUGAGAAUAAAAUGUUACUGACCUAUUUUGGAGCAGUGAACUUGGGGCGUUUUCGGUCGAAGAUCUACUCUCGAAUACGAAGACGAGGUUAAGCCCGUUCAAAUCCAAAAUUGCGAAGAACAAGACUUUAAAACUAGGUGUGAUAGCUUCAAAGCUUUUAGGGAAAACGAGUAGCUGAAAAAAAUUCUUGAAAUUAAUUCCAAAUACCAGUAUUUAUAGGUAAAAAAUAGGUUCUUG